This 2304-nucleotide small RNA is filed under the name Pongo abelii (Sumatran orangutan). Its description in RNAcentral is "processed transcript". The record is from RNAcentral. Lineage: Eukaryota; Metazoa; Chordata; Mammalia; Primates; Hominidae.
GUCUUUGGUAAACUUUGAGCAGUCUUUGGAAACUUCCAGCUGGUCAAAGAGAUUGCCGAUGAAGACCCCAGCCACGUGAACUUGGUCAAUGGGGACGGGGCGACGCCACUGAUGUUAGCAGCUGUUACGGGGCAGCUGGCUCUGGUGCAGCUACUGGUGGAGAGGCACGCGGAUGUUGACAAGCAGGACAGCGUGCAUGGCUGGACGGCCCUCAUGCAGGCAACCUACCAUGGGAAUAAGGAAAUUGUUAAAUAUCUGCUAAACCAAGGGGCCGAUGUCACUCUUCGUGCAAAAAAUGGAUACACAGCCUUUGACCUGGUGAUGCUGCUGAAUGAUCCUGACACGGAACUUGUUCGACUGCUGGCAUCUGUCUGCAUGCAGGUGAAUAAAGACAAAGGCCGGCCGAGCCACCAGCCGCCCCUGCCCCACUCGAAGGUCCGACAGCCCUGGAGCAUCCCAGUGCUGCCCGAUGACAAGGGUGGGCUGAAGUCCUGGUGGAACCGAAUGUCCAAUCGGUUCCGAAAGCUCAAACUGACGCAGACGCUGCCCCGUGGGCUGUCCAGCAACCAGCCUUUGCCUUUCUCUGAUGAGCCUGAGCCAGCUCUGGACUCCACAAUGAGGGCUGCCCCCCGGGACAAGACAAGCCGCUCUGCACUCCCUGAUGUAGCCCCUGUGACCAAAGACAAUGGUCCUGGGAGCACAAGAGGAGAAAAGGAAGACACGUUAUUGACAACCAUGCUUCGAAACGGAGCUCCCCUCACCAGACUCCCGAGUGACAAGCUGAAAGCAGUCAUCCCCCCAUUCCUACCCCCUUCCAGUUUUGAGCUGUGGAGCUCUGAUCGGUCCCGGACACGUCACAAUGGGAAGGCAGACCCCAUGAAGACUGUGCUGCCCCAGAGAGCCAGUAGGGGCCACCCCGUGGGCGGCGGGGGCACAGACACUACACCAAUCAGGCCUGUUAAAUUUCCAAGCCUCUCCAGAAGCCCAGCCUCUCCUGCCAAUUCUGGAAACUUCAACCACUCGCCUCAUUCAUCGGGCGGCUCCAGUGGGGUAGGUGUGAGCCGGCACGGUGGGGAGCUGCUUAACCGCUCAGGUGGCAGCAUAGACAAUGUCUUGUCCCAAAUCGCUGCCCAGAGGAAAAAAGCAGCCGGAUUAUCGGAGCAGAAACCCAGCCAUCGGUCAGGCCCUGUGGGGCCAGCACCGGGGUCCAGCCCGUCUGAGCUUCCAGCCUCCCCUGCAGGUGGCAGCGCUCCCGUUGGCAAGAAAUUGGAGACCAGCAAAAGGCCUCCGUCUGGAACUUCCACUACCUCCAAGAGCACCUCUCCAACCCUCACGCCCUCCCCCUCACCCAAAGGGCACACUGCGGAGUCCUCAGUGUCUUCCUCGUCAUCCCAUCGGCAGUCCAAGAGCAGCGGGGGCUCCAGCAGUGGCACCAUCACAGAUGAGGAUGAACUGACCGGAAUCCUUAAGAAAUUAUCACUUGAGAAAUAUCAGCCCAUUUUUGAGGAACAAGAGUCUGUCUCUGUCUCGUGCAUGGUGGGGGAGAUGAGGUGGACAUGGAAGCGUUCCUCACGCUGACUGACGGUGACUUGAAGGAGCUGGGAAUUAAGACAGAUGGGUCCAGGCAGCAGAUUCUGGCAGCAAUUUCUGAACUCAAUGCAGGCAAGGGACGCGAGAGACAAAUUUUACAGGAAACCAUUCACAACUUUCACUCUUCCUUUGAGAGCAGUGCCAGCAACACCAGGGCCCCUGGCAACAGCCCCUCCAUGGCUGGGUGGGUGAGGCCAGAAGAAACUGCCUCCGGCAAGAGGUAGCAGCCGCUGAGGUGGCUCUGCUGGCAUCGGAGCCCACAGAAGUGAGGAGUGGCCGAUGGACCUGCCCUCCAAAUGUGCCUGACUCUGGGUCUUGCUGUCAUUGGAUUUCCCGGUAUGGUAGACAGAAAGAUAGUUUGACCAAGUCGUAGAAGCUGAUCCAGCGGGUAAAAAGGGGGCAGGGAACCCGUCUCUUUUGUUCUUGCCUCGGAGCUGCCUGAAGACAUGGGCCAGGCCAGAGGCUGGACAACUUUGGACAGAUAUGCUGACCUGUGCUUCCAAGUAAAUGCCUCCUGAAGAGCCCGGGACCCUUCCUGGGAGAAUUCUGCAGCCAGAAUGAAGGUGCCGUCAGCAGGAGGCACUGUGAAGCACCAUCCUGUCGCUGUCCUUGUCCAUUCCUAGCAAGUUAAUUGUGUCUUGUUAACCAGCAGUUCCCGUUCAACGUGUAAAGAGACCUGAUGUUUUCCCUAAUAAAGCCGAUACCAGAUUUUGC